GGGUUGUGAGGUUAAGCGACUAAGCGUACACGGUGGAUGCCCUGGCAGUCAGAGGCGAUGAAGGACGUGCUAAUCUGCGAUAAGCGUCGGUAAGGUGAUAUGAACCGUUAUAACCGGCGAUUUCCGAAUGGGGAAACCCAGUGUGUUUCGACACACUAUCAUUAACUGAAUCCAUAGGUUAAUGAGGCGAACCGGGGGAACUGAAACAUCUAAGUACCCCGAGGAAAAGAAAUCAACCGAGAUUCCCCCAGUAGCGGCGAGCGAACGGGGAGCAGCCCAGAGCCUGAAUCAGUGUGUGUGUUAGUGGAAGCGUCUGGAAAGGCGCGCGAUACAGGGUGACAGCCCCGUACACAAAAAUGCACAUGCUGUGAGCUCGAUGAGUAGGGCGGGACACGUGGUAUCCUGUCUGAAUAUGGGGGGACCAUCCUCCAAGGCUAAAUACUCCUGACUGACCGAUAGUGAACCAGUACCGUGAGGGAAAGGCGAAAAGAACCCCGGCGAGGGGAGUGAAAAAGAACCUGAAACCGUGUACGUACAAGCAGUGGGAGCACGCUUAGGCGUGUGACUGCGUACCUUUUGUAUAAUGGGUCAGCGACUUAUAUUCUGUAGCAAGGUUAACCGAAUAGGGGAGCCGAAGGGAAACCGAGUCUUAACUGGGCGUUAAGUUGCAGGGUAUAGACCCGAAACCCGGUGAUCUAGCCAUGGGCAGGUUGAAGGUUGGGUAACACUAACUGGAGGACCGAACCGACUAAUGUUGAAAAAUUAGCGGAUGACUUGUGGCUGGGGGUGAAAGGCCAAUCAAACCGGGAGAUAGCUGGUUCUCCCCGAAAGCUAUUUAGGUAGCGCCUCGUGAAUUCAUCUCCGGGGGUAGAGCACUGUUUCGGCAAGGGGGUCAUCCCGACU
Molecule: ribosomal RNA, 903 nt
Filed under: Escherichia coli
Lineage: Bacteria; Pseudomonadati; Pseudomonadota; Gammaproteobacteria; Enterobacterales; Enterobacteriaceae
Description: partial 23S ribosomal RNA
Rfam family: Bacterial large subunit ribosomal RNA
Source: RNAcentral